RNAcentral lists this long non-coding RNA (1077 nucleotides) under Canis lupus familiaris (dog). RNAcentral describes it as "lncRNA (ENSCAFG00030014583.1)". The record is from RNAcentral. Lineage: Eukaryota; Metazoa; Chordata; Mammalia; Carnivora; Canidae.
AUGGCCUCCCUCAGGACCUCCCUCAGGGCCUCCUUCAUGGCCUCCCUCAGGACCUCCCUCAGGGCCUCCUUCAUGGCCUCCCUCAAGACCUCCCUCAGGGCCUCCCUCAGGACCUCCCUCAGGGCCUCCCUCAGGGCCUCCCUCAGGACCUCCCUCAGGGCCUCCUUCAUGGCCUCCCUCAGGACCUCCCUCAAGACCUCCCUCAGGGCCUCCCUCAGGACCUCACUCAAGACCUCCCUCAGGACCUCCCUCAGGGCCUCCCUCAGGGCCUCCCUCAGGACCUCCCUCAGGGCCUCCCUCAGGACCUCCCUCAGGGCCUCCCUCAGGGCCUCCUGCAGUACCUCCCUCAGGACCUCCCUCAGGGCCUCCCUCAGGACCUCCCUCAGGGCCUCCCUCAGGACCUCCCUCAAGAUCUCCCGCAGGGCCUCCCUCAGGGCCUCCCUCAGGGCCUCCCUCAGGACCUCCCUCAGGACCUCCCUCAGGACCUCCCGCUCAGGGCCUCCCUCAGGGCUCACUCAGGGCCUCCCUCAAGACCUCACUCAGGGCCUCCUGCAGGACCUCCCUCAGGGCCUCCCUCAGGGCCUCCCUCAGGGCCUUCCUCAGGACCUCCCUCAAGACCUCCCUCAGGACCUCCCCCUCAGGGCCUCCCUCAGGGCCUCCCUCAGGGCCUCCCUCAGGGCCUCCCCGUCAGGGCUUCCCUCAGGACCUCCCUCAGGGCCUCCCUCAGGGCCUCCUGCAGUACCUCCCUCAGGACCUCCCUCAGGGCCUCCCUCAGGACCUCCCUCAGGGCCUCCCUCAGGACCUCCCUCAAGAUCUCCCUCAGGGCCUCCCUCAGGGCCUCCCUCAGGGCCUCCCUCAGGACCUCCCUCAGGACCUCCCUCAGGACCUCCCGCUCAGGGCCUCCCUCAGGGCUCACUCAGGGCCUCCCUCAAGACCUCACUCAGGGCCUCCUGCAGGACCUCCCUCAGGGCCUCCCUCAGGGCCUCCCUCAGGACCUCCCCCUCAGGGCCUCCCUCAGGGCCUCCCCGUCAGGGCUUCCCUCAGGACCUCCCUCACAUCCUGUCAUGUGUCCCUUGA